UACAGAGGAUGCAAGCGUUAUCCGGAAUGAUUGGGCGUAAAGAGCGUGUAGGCGGCCCGGUAAGUCCGCUGUGAAAGUCGGGGGCUCAACCCUCGGAUGCCGGUGGAUACUGUCGGGCUCGAGUACGGAAGAGGCGAGUGGAAUUCCUGGUGUAGCGGUGAAAUGCGCAGAUAUCAGGAGGAACACCUAUUGCGAAGGCAGCUCGCUGGGACGUUACUGACGCUGAGACGCGAAAGCGUGGGGAGCAAACAGG
RNAcentral lists this ribosomal RNA (253 nucleotides) under uncultured bacterium. RNAcentral describes it as "partial 16S ribosomal RNA". It matches the Rfam family "Bacterial small subunit ribosomal RNA", at positions 524 to 776 of the family's 1533-position model. The record is from RNAcentral.